Molecule: long non-coding RNA, 1112 nt
Organism: Mangifera indica (mango)
Lineage: Eukaryota; Viridiplantae; Streptophyta; Magnoliopsida; Sapindales; Anacardiaceae
Exons: 2
Source: RefSeq, a predicted model, not a curated record
GAUUUUUCACUAAUUAUGUCUUUUAAUCAUGGUUAUUAUUCAUUUAUUUUUUCUUGAAUUUGAAAAAUUGAAAGUGAAUACUUUUUAUUCGGUUUGAACCGUAAACCGAACCACACCAAACCGUAUAUUUUCAGUUUAGUUUGGUUUGGUUUAUAAUUUAAAAUGGUUUGGUUUGGUUUGAAAUUUUUUCAAACUGUUUUUUUCAGUUUGGGUUGAAAAAUAUUGUAAACCACACUAAACCGGACCGUGCACACCCCUAAUGUACAGCCUAGAGAAGUAGCUUGAGCAUUAAGAGAAAGGAUUCCAAGCACAAGAGAGAAAGGGUUGAAAUUCACUUAAGUGACAUUUCAGGAUUAAAUUUUGUAAUAUUUAAAGAUUAAAUUCUUAAUUUAUCUGGUUAAACUUUUGAUUUACUUAAUGGAACGUUUAUGAAAUUAAUCACUACAUUCAAGGUUUUAUUUGUUUGAUAUUGAGUUUGUCCUUAAAGGACAAUUCAGCUCAAGUAAGGUUGCCUUAUUUAAAAAGAAAACGUGCAUAUAUCAAGUUUUUAGUCAUUUGUGUAAACUAUGUCUUUAUUUCUUUCAAUCUCGUAGUGCAAAGAACAGUCAGCAUGAAAUUUUCAGAAACUGUGGAUUAAAUAGUAGUCUGUAUCAGUAUUUAACCUCAGUUUUAUUUUCUUUUGAGAUUAUCUCUCUCCCUCUGAGAAUUCUGCUCUGUCUCUAGCAGUUGGAGAAUUUUGUCACAAAGCUCCAUGUGGGGUUUAGGUCUGUCAGCAGUCAUUGAUGGAGGAGCUAGCUCAGGUUGUCGACUGGUUGAGGAUUCAUGUAUUUAUGAGAGCUUGUUUCAUGCCAUUUAAGGAUGUUAUUGGGAAGAUGAAUAUGGAUGUUAGGUCCUGCCAUUAUCAUCACUUUGCUUGUUAAAAAGGGCUCAGUUUUAAUGUAUGAAAGGGAGAUAUCAAUGAAAGUAGUCCAAUUUUGUGUUUAUUGUAUUAAAGGCAGUUGGUAAGGGACAAUAAAUUUCCUUUGCAGUAUAAUUAUGGUUUGUUACUUGAUGGUUAUCGCUAACUUGUAUAAUAUUGGUGAAUAAUUGAUGCUUAAGACUCAUCUUCAACA